CGAACGCAAUCGCCCUUCGGGGCAAUGAUUGAGUGGCGAACGGGUGAGUAACACGUAGGAAACCUACCCAUAAGACGAGGAUAACUACUGGAAACGGUAGCUAAUACUGGAUAGUCUAUUUUAUCGCAUGAUGAAAUAGUUAAAGGAGCGUAUGCUUCACUUAUGGAUGGUCCUGCGGCGCAUUAGCUAGUUGGUAAGGUAACGGCUUACCAAGGCGACGAUGCGUAGCUGAGCUGAGAGGCUGAUCAGCCACACUGGGACUGAGACACGGCCCAGACUCCUACGGGAGGCAGCAGUAGGGAAUUUUCGGCAAUGGGGGAAACCCUGACCGAGCAAUGCCGCGUGAAUGAAGAAGGUCUUCGGAUCGUAAAAUUCUGUUGUUAGGGAAGAAUAGUAGAUAUAGGAAAUGAUAUCUAUGUGACGGUACCUAACCAGAAAGCUCCGGCUAACUACGUGCCAGCAGCCGCGGUAAUACGUAGGGAGCGAGCGUUAUCCGGAAUUAUUGGGCGUAAAGCGUGUGUAGGCGGUUUAUUAAGUCUGAUGUGAAAUCCCCCGGCUCAACCGGGGAGGGUCAUUGGAAACUGGUAAACUUGAGUACGGUAGAGGCAAGUGGAAUUCCAUGUGUAGCGGUAAAAUGCGUAGAUAUAUGGAGGAACACCAGUGGCGAAGGCGGCUUGCUGGGCCGGAACUGACGCUGAGACACGAAAGCGUGGGGAGCAAACAGGAUUAGAUACCCUGGUAGUCCACGCCGUAAACGAUGGGUACUAAGUGUUGGCAGAGAUGUCAGUGCUGUAGUUAACGCAUUAAGUACCCCGCCUGGGGAGUACGGUCGCAAGACUGAAACUCAAAGGAAUUGACGGGUCUCCGCACAAGCGGUGGAGCAUGUGGUUUAAUUCGAAGAUACGCGAAGAACCUUACCAGGUCUUGACAUCCCCUUGACCGCUCUAGAGAUAGAGCUUCUCUUCGGAGCAGGGGUGACAGGUGGUGCAUGGUUGUCGUCAGCUCGUGUCGUGAGAUGUUGGGUUAAGUCCCGCAACGAGCGCAACCCCUAUUACUAGUUGCCAGCAUUAAGUUGGGGACUCUAGUGAGACUGCCAGUGAUAAACUGGAGGAAGGUGGGGAUGACGUCAAAUCAUCAUGCCCCUUAUGACCUGGGCUACACACGUGCUACAAUGGCUAUUACAAAGGGAAGCGAAACCGCGAGGUGAAGCAAACCCCAUAAAGGUAGUCUCAGUUCGGAUUGUAGUCUGCAACUCGACUACAUGAAGUUGGAAUCGCUAGUAAUCGCGAAUCAGAAUGUCGCGGUGAAUACGUUCUCGGAGAUUGUACACACCGCCCGUCAUACCACGAGAGUUUGUAACACCCGAAACCGGUGGCCUAACCGCAAGGAGGGAGCCGUCUAAGGUGGAUG
Molecule: ribosomal RNA, 1410 nt
Filed under: Mycoplasmatota bacterium
Lineage: Bacteria; Bacillati; Mycoplasmatota
Description: bacterial SSU rRNA
Rfam family: Bacterial small subunit ribosomal RNA
Source: RNAcentral